UCUUUAGUCGAGUUCAUUGUAAAAGAAACCGAAAGGCUCCAUCCUCAGGUGCGCUUUCAAGAGAGAAAAAAGGGAAACACUCUAACAAAAUCAUGAUUUCAUAAAUUUUAAGUUCUCCUCUCUUAAAUUAUGUGGGGCGAUGUAAAAGUCCAGAUGCGAACCCCUUCUUUUGAGAAACUUUACCUGACCCAAUGCUGCCUCCUUUGCAGUAACCAAUGGUGAGAAAUAUUCUCUCUUCAUACAUUGUGACAGGCCUACUUCAAGCUCGUGAAUUAUGCUGAGCAUUCUACAAUCUCAGAGUGAACACAUUUCUAUGAUUAUGCUUGCUUUGAUUUGAUAAGUUUGGCCAUCAUCAACAAAUUUAUUCUGAACUCAACAUAGCCUCAAAACCCCAUCUCUCUGGAUAGCUACAAUAUUUGGCAUUAUGGGCACCGAAUCUAAUUGCUUUGUGAUUCGUGUUCUCCGGAAGCAUGUUUGUUGUUGGAUACAAAUUCAACCAAAUGCGGCGCCGCGUUCCCUGUGGUUUCGACAUCAUUUUUUAAUAAACUAGAAUUGGGAUAGGCUGUUAAAACUUACAAGCAUUGAGAGGCAAGGCAUUUCGAAUAAAAUGACGAGAACAAUUUAAUCUUGCUGCCAAAGGAACCAUUUUGCACUCUGUACUAAUUUCUGCGUAGUCAAUUGAGUUCAAAUAGUAGGUUUGUUCAGUAUUUGCUGGUUACUAAACAUGGUAAUGUAAUAAAUUUUUUUAUCAUGUACCUUGCAUUAUGCUCUGCUAAAAUGUGAAUUAUGGUUUGGGAUUCUGACAUGAUUAAUAAACUUGCACCAUACUGAUGCUUGCUCAGCAACUCAUCUCUUUCUCACAACUUUCUUUUAGCAGGUAAGGUCUUGAUCUACAAUGUGUGUUUUCCGUGACACAAUUACCAAACACUGCAUAUCUCAAGUGACACUUGCUCAUGCCUUCUACUUCAACAGUUGAAUAAAUGAGCUGUGAUUCUUUCUAAAAUAGUCGAGUUUUGUGCUGAGUGUCUUCUCUGCUGACGGAUUUGGUCUCUUUACUGAUGUGAUAUGAGGUUCUGCAUCCUUGUGCUGGUUCAACCAAUAUAAACAAAAAGGUUUGGAAGUUGGAACAUGUACUUCAGGGAUCAUCUUCCAGGGCUGGUGAAAGCUAGGGCUGGUGGCGACUGUGGUUCUUCCAUGGUUUGUGACAUGGUUUGCUUGCAGGCUCUGUCACAGAGAAUCCACUAAGGAAAAUUUGUUGCAGGGGUUACGGUUUGGGAAUCCCCCUUUGAUUACGAGGCCGCUAUCAAAGUGCAGAUUAAACUGCUUCGAUACUUGUCUCCUUAUUUUUUUUUCAUUUAGUCACAUUGUCAUCCUUUCCUGUCAUCCUUUGGGCCGUGGUUCUUGCAGGAUCGAGCUCAACUCAUGGCGUUGCUCACAUAUGAAGCCGUGGAAGCAGCUGUUAAGAACCGAGUAGAGAUGAAAACAAGAAGUUAUGGUCAAGAGGUAGGGGUCACCCAGCAGGAUGACGGAACUGAUUCCCUACACAAAGUGGAGCCAACUUUAGUUGCUAAUCUGUACAAAAACUGGACCAUGCCUCUGACAAAAGAAGUUCAGCAAACACUGUCACCGACGAAGCAGCCCGCCUGGUGAUCCACGAAGAUGGGGCUGUUGACACAAGAGGCAGCUGCAUUGCUAUAGUUGUCAUUGUCGACUAAUGAGCUGGAAAAAUCGUGGUUUCAGGCCCACCAUGUUCCAUUGCAUCUUUAAUUAUCUGGUAUAGACAAAUGCGGGGACAUGAAGCAACCCAAAGAGAGAAAAAUUGAAAGACUUUUCAUCAGUAUUAGCUCCGGGGGAUCUAUCCUUUCUAGUAGGCAGUCGCUUUCAGAG
This is a long non-coding RNA of Populus euphratica (Euphrates poplar), 1887 nucleotides long. RefSeq lists it as uncharacterized. NCBI's taxonomy places the organism in Eukaryota, Viridiplantae, Streptophyta, Magnoliopsida, Malpighiales, Salicaceae. The transcript has 3 exons. The record is from RefSeq and is a predicted model, not a curated record.